Molecule: ribosomal RNA, 1441 nt
Filed under: uncultured organism
Description: SSU rRNA
Rfam family: Bacterial small subunit ribosomal RNA
Source: RNAcentral
GAUGAACGCUAGCUACAGGCUUAACACAUGCAAGUCGAGGGGCAUCAGGAAGAAAGCUUACUUUCUUUGCUGGCGACCGGCGCACGGGUGAGUAACACGUAUCCAACCUGCCCUUUACUCGGGGAUAGCCUUUCGAAAGAAAGAUUAAUACCCGAUGGCAUAAUGAUUCCGCAUGGUUUCAUUAUUAAAGGAUUCCGGUAAAGGAUGGGGAUGCGUUCCAUUAGGUUGUUGGUGAGGUAACGGCUCACCAAGCCUUCGAUGGAUAGGGGUUCUGAGAGGAAGGUCCCCCACAUUGGAACUGAGACACGGUCCAAACUCCUACGGGAGGCAGCAGUGAGGAAUAUUGGUCAAUGGGCGCUAGCCUGAACCAGCCAAGUAGCGUGAAGGAUGAAGGCUCUAUGGGUCGUAAACUUCUUUUAUAUAAGAAUAAAGUGCAGUAUGUAUACUGUUUUGUAUGUAUUAUAUGAAUAAGGAUCGGCUAACUCCGUGCCAGCAGCCGCGGUAAUACGGAGGAUCCGAGCGUUAUCCGGAUUUAUUGGGUUUAAAGGGAGCGUAGGUGGACUGGUAAGUCAGUUGUGAAAGUUUGCGGCUCAACCGUAAAAUUGCAGUUGAUACUGUCAGUCUUGAGUACAGUAGAGGUGGGCGGAAUUCGUGGUGUAGCGGUGAAAUGCUUAGAUAUCACGAAGAACUCCGAUUGCGAAGGCAGCUCACUGGACUGCAACUGACACUGAUGCUCGAAAGUGUGGGUAUCAAACAGGAUUAGAUACCCUGGUAGUCCACACAGUAAACGAUGAAUACUCGCUGUUUGCGAUAUACAGUAAGCGGCCAAGCGAAAGCAUUAAGUAUUCCACCUGGGGAGUACGCCGGCAACGGUGAAACUCAAAGGAAUUGACGGGGGCCCGCACAAGCGGAGGAACAUGUGGUUUAAUUCGAUGAUACGCGAGGAACCUUACCCGGGCUUAAAUUGCAGUGGAAUGAUGUGGAAACAUGUCAGUGAGCAAUCACCGCUGUGAAGGUGCUGCAUGGUUGUCGUCAGCUCGUGCCGUGAGGUGUCGGCUUAAGUGCCAUAACGAGCGCAACCCUUAUCUUUAGUUACUAACAGGUUAUGCUGAGGACUCUGGUGAGACUGCCGUCGUAAGAUGUGAGGAAGGUGGGGAUGACGUCAAAUCAGCACGGCCCUUACGUCCGGGGCUACACACGUGUUACAAUGGGGGGGUACAGAAGGCAGCUAGCGGGUGACCGUAUGCUAAUCCCAAAAUCCUCUCUCAGUUCGGAUCGAAGUCUGCAACCCGACUCCGUGAAGCUGGAUUCGCUAGUAAUCGCGCAUCAGCCACGGCGCGGUGAAUACGUUCCCGGGCCUUGUACACACCGCCCGUCAAGCCAUGGGAGCCGGGGGUACCUGAAGUACGUAACCGCAAGGAUCGUCCUAGGGUAAAACUGG